CCUACGGGGGGCAGCAGUAAGGAAUCUUCGUCAAUGGGCGCGAGCCUGAACCAGCCAAGUAGCGUGAAGGAUGACUGCCCUACGGGUUGUAAACUUCGUUUAUGAAGGAGUAAGAUAGAGCACGUAUGCCUUUUUGUAUGUACUUUAUGAAUAAGGAUCGGCUAACUCCGUUCCAGCAGUCGCGGUAAUACGGAGGAUCCGAGCGUUAUCCGGAUUUAUUGGGUUUAAAGUGAACGUAGAUGGGUUGUUAAGUCAGAUGUGAAAGUCUGCGGCUCAACCGUAAAAUUGCAAUUGAUACUGGAAGCCUUGAGUACAGUUGAGGUAGGCGGAAUUCGUGGUGUAGCGGUGAAAUGCGUAGAUAUAACGAAGAACUCCGAUUGCGAAGGCAGCUUACUAAACUGCCACUGACAUUGAUGCUCGAAAGUGUGGGUAUCAAACAGGAUUAGAUACCCCAGUAGUC
RNAcentral lists this ribosomal RNA (460 nucleotides) under uncultured bacterium. RNAcentral describes it as "partial 16S ribosomal RNA". It matches the Rfam family "Bacterial small subunit ribosomal RNA", at positions 338 to 795 of the family's 1533-position model. The record is from RNAcentral.